UGUCUAUCUGUCUCUCUCUCUAACCUGUCUAUCUCUCUAACCUGUCUCUCUCUUUGACAGGUCUGUGUCUCUCUAUAACCUGUUUCUCUCUCUUACCUGUCUCUCUCUUUAACAGGUCUAUGAUUCUCUCUCUGAACUGUCUCUCUCUCUUACCUGUCUAUUUCUUUGACAGGUCUAAAGUGUGUCUCUCUAACCCAGCGGUUUUCAAUAGGUGAGGCGCGCCUCCCCUGGGGGGCGCCAAAGAGCCACAGGG
This is a long non-coding RNA of Gadus macrocephalus (Pacific cod), 253 nucleotides long. RefSeq lists it as uncharacterized. NCBI's taxonomy places the organism in Eukaryota, Metazoa, Chordata, Actinopteri, Gadiformes, Gadidae. The record is from RefSeq and is a predicted model, not a curated record. The transcript has 2 exons.